AGAGUUUGAUCCUGGCUCAGGAUGAACGCUGGCGGCGUGCUUAACACAUGCAAGUCGAACGAGGCACCUUUGCGGAAGUUUUCGGAUGGAAGCGGAGGCGACCGAGUGGCGGACGGGUGAGUAACGCGUGGGGAACCUGCCCCAUUCCGGGGGAUACCAGUUGGAAACGACUGUUAAUACCGCAUAAGCGCACGGAAGGACAUCCUUUUGUGUGAAAAACUGAGGUGGAAUGGGAUGGCCCCGCGUCUGAUUAGCCAGUUGGCAGGGUAACGGCCUACCAAAGCGACGAUCAGUAGCCGGCCUGAGAGGGCGACCGGCCACAUUGGGACUGAGACACGGCCCAAACUCCUACGGGAGGCAGCAGUGGGGAAUAUUGCACAAUGGGGGAAACCCUGAUGCAGCGACGCCGCGUGAGUGAAGAAGUAUUUCGGUAUGUAAAGCUCUAUCAGCAGGGAAGAAGAUGACGGUACCUGCACAAGAAGCCCCGGCUAACUACGUGCCAGCAGCCGCGGUAAUACGUAGGGGGCAAGCGUUAUCCGGAUUUACUGGGGUGUAAAGGGAGCGUAGACGGAAGAUCAAGUCAGGUGUGAAAGGCAUGGGCUCAACCCGUGGACUGCACUUGAAACUGGUCAUCUCGAGUGUCGGAGGGGCAGGCGGAAUUCCUGGUGUAGCGGUGAAAUGCGUAGAUAUCAGGAAGAACACCGGUGGCGAAGGCGGCCUGCUGGACGAGUACUGACGUUGAGGCUCGAAGGCGUGGGGAGCAAACAGGAUUAGAUACCCUGGUAGUCCACGCAGUAAACGAUGAAUACU
Molecule: ribosomal RNA, 810 nt
Filed under: uncultured bacterium
Lineage: Bacteria
Description: bacterial SSU rRNA
Rfam family: Bacterial small subunit ribosomal RNA
Source: RNAcentral